GAGGGUGUAGCUCAAGUGGCAGAGCACAUGCUUAGCAUGCACGAGGUCCUGGGUUCAACCCCCAGCACCUCCU
Molecule: transfer RNA, 73 nt
Filed under: Camelus bactrianus (Bactrian camel)
Lineage: Eukaryota; Metazoa; Chordata; Mammalia; Artiodactyla; Camelidae
Also listed under: 2 other names
Rfam family: tRNA
About the family: Transfer RNA (tRNA) molecules are approximately 80 nucleotides in length. Their secondary structure includes four short double-helical elements and three loops (D, anti-codon, and T loops). Further hydrogen bonds mediate the characteristic L-shaped molecular structure. tRNAs have two regions of fundamental functional importance: the anti-codon, which is responsible for specific mRNA codon recognition, and the 3' end, to which the tRNAs corresponding amino acid is attached (by aminoacyl-tRNA synthetases). tRNAs cope with the degeneracy of the genetic code in two manners: having more than one tRNA (with a specific anti-codon) for a particular amino acid; and 'wobble' base-pairing, i.e. permitting non-standard base-pairing at the 3rd anti-codon position.
Source: Rfam by way of RNAcentral